This is a long non-coding RNA of Bombus pascuorum, 1725 nucleotides long. RefSeq lists it as uncharacterized. The transcript is spliced from 2 exons. The record is from RefSeq and is a predicted model, not a curated record. NCBI's taxonomy places the organism in Eukaryota, Metazoa, Arthropoda, Insecta, Hymenoptera, Apidae.
AGGAUAAACGUCGAAGAACAAGGACGAGGAAAACCGACGACCCCGCUGUUUGCCUUUUAUUAAACUCUUGUUAAACGCCGCCUUUCUUCGCACACACAAUUGAAUCGGCAAAACAGCGAAGAUAAUGCUUCGACCGAGUUGUACACGGCCGAGGGCCAGGCUCUUCUACGUGGAAGACUUACCGCAAACACCAGCUUCUUGUACACCCUGAAAUGGACACCGUGUAAUCCGGCUUUUUAUACGACAGUGCCGCAUUGACCGGCUCCUCCAAGGCAUGCACAUCGGCUACUACUGGCUAAUAAAUACUGCCGUCAUCUCUUUCUCUCUCUCUCUCCCUCUAUACGUUUCCGUUUGUUCGUGAAAAAGAACCCUGAAAACGAUUCUUCAACGACCGUGAAAAUCGCACGGCCCACCCUCUUCCUGCCGGCAUCGUUCACCUCUAAUGAAAAUAUUUGGAUAUUUCGAGCAAGAUUGGCGUGGCCCACGUUUCAAAGCGUGCCAUUGUACGCCGUUGCUUCGAGAAGCUUGUAAUUCGAUAAGACCGGAAAUCAAAGGUUAUAAACAGCAAAAUACCGACACAAAGUGGCACGAGAUAUCGUGGAAUGCGUGUUGCAAUUCGUAGAAUUGCAAUGGGAGUCCGAGUCACGUACAAAAUAAGCGCGUAAUACAUUUAAUAACCCUUGUGCAGUUCGUCGACAAUUUUUCUACCUAUUCCUCUCCUCUUUCAAAUAAACUUUCCAAUUUUAUAGAAAAACCAUCGAUAACAAAUUUCUGUACAUUAAAUUUGUUUUGAAAUUGAAAAAAGGGGAAUACGAUUCAAGAACCAUCGUUGAAUUUAUUAUUAAACGAUACCGGUAACGUCGAUUAUUAUAUUUGUAAGUUCGUUAAAAAAUAAGUUACGGUACAGUCAAUUUCUCGUUACGAUUUUUUUUUUUUUUUUUUUACAAUUACCACCAUCGACAAAAGAAAGGACGGGAGAGACGGAAGCGUGGAAAUCAAAUGGAAGGAAGAAAGAAAAAAGAGAAUAUAGUUGUGCACAGUUUAUAAACAAUGUUUAUUUUCUGCAAUUUUACUUCUGUUCCAUAUCGUUUCGUUCUUUUUUCUUUUCCUGUUUUAAUUCUCUUUUACAAUCAUAGGAGCAGCCUACAUUUAACGUGAUUGAAAAAUCUUGCGCUAUUGCGAGUGUGAAUGUUGAAUAUGUAUACAGCAAAUAUACAUGUACAUAACACACACACAUAUAUAUAUACACAUACCUUUUCAUUUCAUUCUUAUCUUAUUUUAUAUAAUGUAUAUCGAGGUAAAAACUAAGUACUCAUACAAAACGUAGAUCAACAUUUUUUUAUUCUUUAUUUUUUUCACUUUUCUCUUUCUCGUUCUGGUGGGAUAUCGUUUAUAAGGGCACAUUAUAGGACUCUCUAUGUGUACAUACAUAUACAUAUGCAUGUGUUCUCUAUACAUAUAUUAUAUAUACACAUACAUUUUACAUACUUUCAAAGAGAUAUGACAUCCGGAUAUCGCUUUCUUCGUUCAACUCGACUCAACAAAAUUCCACAAUAUACCUGUGUGAUUCUCUUCCUUCCCCUUCUGCUUGUCUUUCUUUCUUCUAUUUUUCCUUUCCCUUCUCUCCCUUCCUCGUUUCUAAGCAUUUUACAACUCGCUUUUCGCUCCCUAUUGACUAGUGACACUGAUAAUUGACUAAUAAAUACUGACCUGCUACGAGAUUAA